UCCAGUGUCACAUGAUGGGCAGCCAGGAGCAGAUAAAUAUUAAUUUCCUAAUUUGUUUAGGGACCCUGCAGACUGGAUAGAAUGACCUAGCAGGCCAGAUCCAGCCUGCAGGCUGUAUUUUGCCCA
Gavialis gangeticus (Gharial) is the source of this 126-nucleotide long non-coding RNA. RefSeq lists it as uncharacterized. The transcript has 3 exons. The record is from RefSeq and is a predicted model, not a curated record. NCBI's taxonomy places the organism in Eukaryota, Metazoa, Chordata, Crocodylia, Gavialidae.